CAAAGUAUUGUUUUGAGGCCAACCUACUGGAGGAUCCAAAUCAGAAGCUUGCGAGGGGAUUUCUUGCCAUUUCGCUCUACAGACGGGACAAACAUGGUUGCCAUGUUUCACACUUGAAGCAAUGCAGUGAAAGUGAAAGAAUACCUCAAGCUGUACCGUCGGCCCGAUCCUCAACUGUUGUCCAUCGUAUCUCAACAUGUACCAGUCCAUUCCUUGAAUCUAUCAGAUGAUACUUUUGGUUGAUACGUCCGUUGCGCACGAUGUCAGUCAGAUCGAUUUCUACAUACCCCAGUGAUUCCUGAAGAGAAUAUGAACCCAAUAUUCAGAACUAUGCUAUUGAAACCUUAAGAGUUCUCAAGGAUACUUGAACGUGGUAGCGGUGAAGAAAUUAUCCGAAAUUUGGAUUAAAGAACAAUUAAGAAGAGCAGAGUAUGUUACUUCUUUAAACGUAUUUUUUUUUUUUUUUGCGUCUACUAAUUGCCUUCUUAGCAAUCUUCACAUUUGACUGGAUCAUGGAUGUUAAUAGAUUUAUGUAGAACAAGAUUACAGUAAACAGUAAUCUGCAGAGGAAACUAAAUUUAACGUCAGCCUAAGCCAAUGCCAGUUGACAUGCCAAUAGAGUGAAAUAUUUAUAAAAAUUAGA
Tripterygium wilfordii is the source of this 643-nucleotide long non-coding RNA. RefSeq lists it as uncharacterized. NCBI's taxonomy places the organism in Eukaryota, Viridiplantae, Streptophyta, Magnoliopsida, Celastrales, Celastraceae. The record is from RefSeq and is a predicted model, not a curated record. The transcript has 3 exons.